GACUCGUCACACUAUCAUUAACUGAAUCCAUAGGUUAAUGAGGCGAACCGGGGGAACUGAAACAUCUAAGUACCCCGAGGAAAAGAAAUCAACCGAGAUUCCCCCAGUAGCGGCGAGCGAACGGGGAGGAGCCCAGAGCCUGAAUCAGCAUGUGUGUUAGUGGAAGCGUCUGGAAAGGCGCGCGAUACAGGGUGACAGCCCCGUACACAAAAGCGCAUGUGCUGUGAGCUCGAUGAGUAGGGCGGGACACGUGGUAUCCUGUCUGAAUAUGGGGGGACCAUCCUCCAAGGCUAAAUACUCCUGACUGACCGAUAGUGAACCAGUACCGUGAGGGAAAGGCGAAAAGAACCCCGGCGAGGGGAGUGAAAAAGAACCUGAAACCGUGUACGUACAAGCAGUGGGAGCACCCUUUGGGGUGUGACUGCGUACCUUUUGUAUAAUGGGUCAGCGACUUAUAUUCUGUAGCAAGGUUAACCGAAUAGGGGAGCCGGAGGGAAACCGAGUCUUAAUUGGGCGUUAAGUUGCAGGGUAUAGACCCGAAACCCGGUGAUCUAGCCAUGGGCAGGUUGAAGGUUGGGUAACACUAACUGGAGGACCGAACCGACUAAUGUUGAAAAAUUAGCGGAUGACCUGUGGCUGGGGGUGAAAGGCCAAUCAAACCGGGAGAUAGCUGGUUCUCCCCGAAAGCUAUUUAGGUAGCGCCUCGUGAAUUCAUCUCCGGGGGUAGAGCACUGUUUCGGCUAGGGGGCCAUCCCGGCUUACCAACCCGAUGCAAACUGCGAAUACCGGAGAAUGUUAUCACGGGAGACACACGGCGGGUGCUAACGUCCGUCGUGAAGAGGGAAACAACCCAGACCGCCAGCUAAGGUCCCAAAGUCAUGGUUAAGUGGGAAACGAUGUGGGAAGGCCCAGACAGCCAGGAUGUUGGCUUAGAAGCAGCCAUCAUUUAAAGAAAGCGUAAUAGCUCACUGGUCGAGUCGGCCUGCGCGGAAGAUGUAACGGGGCUAAACCAUGCACCGAAGCUGCGGCAGCGACACUCAGGUGU
RNAcentral lists this ribosomal RNA (1045 nucleotides) under Salmonella enterica. RNAcentral describes it as "partial 23S ribosomal RNA". It matches the Rfam family "Bacterial large subunit ribosomal RNA", at positions 137 to 1221 of the family's 2925-position model. Lineage: Bacteria; Pseudomonadati; Pseudomonadota; Gammaproteobacteria; Enterobacterales; Enterobacteriaceae. The record is from RNAcentral.